AGUGAACGCUGGCGGCGUGCCUAAUACAUGCAAGUCGAACGGAUAUUAAGUAGCUUGCUAUUUAUUCUUAGUGGCGCACGGGUGAGUAAUAUAUAGCUAACUUUCCCAUUACUAAGGGACAACAGUUGGAAACGACUGCUAAUACCUUAUACUCCGUAUCUAUAUAAGUAGAUACGGGAAAGUUUUUCGGUAAUGGAUAGGGCUAUAUCGUAUCAGCUAGUUGGUAAGGUAAUGGCUUACCAAGGCUAUGACGCGUAACUGGUCUGAGAGGAUGAUCAGUCACACUGGAACUGAGACACGGUCCAGACUCCUACGGGAGGGAGCAGUAGGGAAUAUUGCUCAAUGGGGGAAACCCUGAAGCAGCAACGCCGCGUGGAGGAUGACACUUUUCGGAGAGUAAAAUCCUUUUCUUGGGAAAGAAUUAUGACGGUACCAAAGGAAUAAGCACCGGCUAACUCCGUG
This 462-nucleotide ribosomal RNA is filed under the name uncultured bacterium. Its description in RNAcentral is "partial 16S ribosomal RNA". It matches the Rfam family "Bacterial small subunit ribosomal RNA", at positions 29 to 507 of the family's 1533-position model. The record is from RNAcentral.